UACAGAGGGUGCGAGCGUUAAUCGGAAUUACUGGGCGUAAAGCGUGCGUAGACGGUAGCGUAAGUCAGAUGUGAAAGCCCCGGGCUCAACCUGGGAAUUGCAUUUGAGACUGCUCUGCUCGGGUGCGGAAGAGGGAAGCGGAAUUUCCGGUGUAGCGGUGAAAUGCGUAGAUAUCGGAAGGAACACCAGUGGCGAAAGCAGUGUCCUGGGGAGUACCUGACGCUCAGGUGCGAAAGCCAGGGGAGCGAACGGG
This 253-nucleotide ribosomal RNA is filed under the name uncultured bacterium. RNAcentral describes it as "partial 16S ribosomal RNA". It matches the Rfam family "Bacterial small subunit ribosomal RNA", at positions 524 to 776 of the family's 1533-position model. The record is from RNAcentral.